CCCCUUUUCCAUUCUUCUCGGAUGUCGCAACCAGAUGGUGGAGCCCAGGAUCCAGACGCGACCUUCGACGACAACUGCUACUACACUGAGGGUGCCUACUACUACAUGGAGGCUGCCGACGACCAGGAGUAGUUAGGAGGCUCCCAGGCAGGAGGCCUUGCCUUUUCGAUCGAUGUUGCUUUUGUGUUAGCCUUCUUAAGGCAAAAACUUGUCUAACGUAUGUCUGUACUCAGAUAUUGUUGCUUCCACUGACUCUUGUGUAUUCGAGCUUAUGUAUUCGAGCCCUCGAGGCCCCUGGCUUGUAAUAUAAAGCUUAUAUUAUUUUAAUUUGUGUCUAGAGUUGUGUUGUGAUAUCUUCCCAUGAGUCCUUGAUCUUGAUCGUAUACAUUUGCGUGUAUGAUUAGUGUACGAUUGAAUCGAGGGCGUCACAAGUUGGUAUCAGAGCCGACUGCCUUUAGGUAGCCCCCUUUCCAACUCCUUGGCUGAAGUCGAGUCUAGUUAGUGAAAAACUUUUACUAACAUGGAUGUGUGCCUUACGGGCCCAUGUUGCCAUUUGGGUGGUAUUAGGAUCUUUUAUUCCUCGUCUAUACUCUGGGACUCUGAUCUCUCUUAUAUUCGGGUUAAAUGGUUUUUACUAACUUGAGCAUUAGGAUCUCGUGAUCACAUCCGCCCAGAGAGCCCCUUAUUUCAGAUGAUCGCCUGCUGCAUCAGAAGAUUCCGAAGAUACUCUACGAUAUUCUCUCGAGACUUUGUGCCUGUUGCCUUUGCAAUUCCCUACCACCGAAAUAUCCUUAUGGAUAGCUACACACACUUGCCAAUUUUACAUCCUAACCCAUUGAUCUUGUUAUUACAAGAUGCCCUGAACUGCUCUCCGUUGUUCCGAGAAUCCCUUGAGCUUACUGCGUUGCAGUUCCUUGUCACCUGAAUACCCCUUCGGAUAACUUUGUGCACCUAUCAAGUACCCGCUAAUCCUCAGUUGAUUUAUGUACUUCACAAAAGCCUUUGUAAUACCAUUCAUUCUUGUGAAAAUCCUCAACAGCCUUUUGUUCUUGAAUUUCUUGCUUGCUUGCAUUAUGGUUAAUACCAUAAGUCUAGUAAUCUUAUUGUCAUCCGUUGUCCCUAUCAUUUUGAGUCCAUUGAUACAAUAUGUUGCGAAUGAUCGCAAUCCUCAGUCAGAUCCUAGAAUUCAUCCUUCCGGCUCAGACGUCAUUUUAACAUGUGUUGAAUCUCGAUCAAUCAAAUCGCCAUCGAUUGUACCUCUAAGGCUAUUCUACCUAUCCAUCCCUAAUCAGAGAAUUGCUUCUGAUCCCUUGUCUUGGAAUUCAUAAUUUCUUUGCAAUUGAGCUCUCAGUUAGUCAGUUGUUUCUAUAAUCUGAUCUCCUUGCAUUCUUUCUUCCUCUGGUUGAAUAUUGAUGUUCACAUCAGAUCCACAUUGUGGACCACCAGACCCCUUUUACGGAUUUUAUCCAACAACAUUCUUCAUAUUCAAUAAGCUUGUGAGCCUUUCCUCGGAUACAUAAUGCUUUUGGUAAAUUGUAUCCUCCACUUUCUCAAGCAUGCUCUACUACUGAGCGUGUGUUACUUAUUCUCAAAAUUUAUGAUAUAUGUUCCUAAGAUGCCCCGAUGGGUUGAACCUAUGCCUUCCCUAAUCUGUGUGAACUCGAGAGUUACGCGGAUUAUACUCUACUGGCUUUUCGUCAGAUAAAAGUUCAAUACUACAGCUUCAUCAAGAGCGAGAAGUAAAAUGAAAGGUUAUGCAUUGUAGAAGUGGGAGUCGACCUUGAACCUUUGUGUUCAUGCCCACGGACACGGAGUGGAACUUAUCAUGAAAGCUUCUUGCAAGGAUAUUUAAUCAUUUGAAUAAUUCUUCUGGUAUCGUAAAUUGGAUCCCUUGCAGUUAUGGUCUCGGCCAUAUUUCCUCCUUGAUCCCAUUGGGUAAGUUAAAAUUACUUAUCCUCUACAAAUCGUUUCCCCCGUCCAACCUCUACUCCGAUUUACCUUCUGGCAUUACACCUAGUACUUGGUACUGGGAAGCUUUAUACCCCAUCACAUCAUUCCUAGCCUGGUCGGCUAUAUUUUUAUCGUGUCAACUUUUAACUGUGUCACCUGGUCCUCCUUCCCGGAGCACAAUUUUCGACGAUGAGCUAAGCUUACGUCCAUUUUCCUCAUCAUAUCAUUUCACCUUGAACAACAAGCUUGAUUUCGAGUUUGUGAUGUACCCAUGGUUCCAAUAACCUUUUGCUUCAUCAUUCCUUUGACUUGGUGUCGUCGCUGAAUGAUUACAUCUUCAGGAAAUCUCUCGACAAAUGUGUCGUGAUCAUCAUCAGCCUUAUGAGCUCUUCCAGGAUAUCAAUCGAAUGAGAAAUACAAUCCUUCCCCUCGAUGAUUUAUGUUAUCAUCGACAACAUUCUUGCCUUCCCCAACACAAACUUGUUCAUAUAAUUUUGGAAAUACAUCCUUUUUGGCAUGUCGAUGGAUUGUGGCUGAGCCCGUCGGCCACACCCUCAUCUUUUUCCUGCUAAAAUUGUAUGACUUAUUUUCUAAGUUGUUUUCGAUGGAUCCUUGGUGUAUCUAAAGUUUGACCUUUGCUUGAAACUAUGUCAAUGCUAUCUCGAAGCAUGUCUGUGGUAAUCCGAUCUCCAAUAAGAACAUUUGAAGCACGGUACUAAUUUUUUUUAUCAAUUUUCCAAACACCGUUGUAUGGGUAAUGUCAUGAAAUUUCUUUCCCUUUACCUAAUUGGUUAUCUACUUACUAUCCUGUCAUGGAUAUCUUGCUCUGUCUGUCCUUGGGAAGGAUAUACCCCUGAAAUAUGUGUUUAAACACAUUUUCCUUUCCAUUGUUCUAUUUAAUUGGACAAUUAUAUUUUCCUUUCCAUUGGUUUGCUUAACCUUUCUUGUGAUCUAUACAUGUUAUAAGCAGAAAUAAAUCCCUGCUUAUGGAAACACCUCGGUAUACAACUCUGUCAGUGUGACCCUGUUACUAUUGUUGACGACAUCCUGGUAACCCCCGAUGGACGAGAACUUUGCCUAUUGGUCCGCCUCGUUCAACGAGCAGGAAAAUGGUUCUCUUCGUCCCUCGCCCUUGGUACCGACGUUGUUACCGACAUAACUAACAGGCUGCCCUCUAACAUGCUUUGCUAUCAUGACCGUGCAAAAUGCUAGCGCCCUUUCUACUUUUAACCCACAUGGUGGGCCCAAUAACCCACAGUUCCACAGGAUCGAAACCUAACUCUCCUGUACCCCCUGUUUCUAAGGUUAUUCCUCCCGCUUGGCUUCGUAUCAUGUCACGAGCCACCUUCUAAGAGAUGAUCUAUUCCGGAUGCUCUGAACCCCUUUCUCACACUCGGUUCAGGUAUCAAUCGUUUGUCCAUCCGCUUGAAACUUCCUAUUGUACCUCCAAAUUUUGCCCUCGAUGUUUUCUUAAGUUUCAACUCAAGAGACACUUCUGCCACAUUCCCUGAAUUGUUCACCAGAUAAUUAACCCUAUAAGGGUCAGUUCUUUCGAAGUUACUCUUUACUUCCGCACUUAAAUCUCGGGACGAGAUUUCUUGUAGUGGAGGAGAUUUGUAACACCCUCAGUGUCAAGCUACAGUAAUCCCCUACUAAUGAUGCCAAGUCAUCACUGUUAUUGUUGCUAAUCUCACGUUGAUUCAAAACCAAUUCAAAUUCAAUUUUAAAAUAAAGUCAAAAAUUCAAAUUUGCCAAACAUGAAAACUAGAAUGUUCAAAGUGUGGAAAAUAAUCACUAAAUAAUUGUCAUGUUGGAACCAACCUCUUCUGAAUUCCCAAAAUGCCCAUGAGAAUUAACUCAGUGCUCCAGCAACAUUUAAUUUGGCCUUUUCAAUUUCUAAAAUUAAUUAGGCAACUCCUUUUGGCCCCAAACUUUUUGUGCCAUCUAAUAUUGUUGUGAUUGAUUUAUGUGCAAAGUUUUACAAGUAACAAAGCUCAUUUGGUAGCUAGAAUAAAUAGAAAACAGUAGCAGGAAUGUAAAACAAAAAAGAAUAGAAAAUGAAUAAAGCCUAUUGUGCCACUGGGCCAUAAGUGGCCUCAGCACACAAGGCCCAGCCCACCAAGAGCUAUCCACCUCCCUGUUCACAGCAUGAGGUCGUGGCACACAUCCGACCACCAUGGCCGCGGUUGUGGAUGCGUGUUGGACAUCCUGCGGCUUACCCCGGCGCCUACUUGACGCCCCGAGCUCCCCUGUCUCUCCCUGGUAACCCUAGUCCCCCAAAUCCCCUCUCCUCACUCAUAUCCGACGACCUGGAAGAGGCCAAACUCGCGGUCAUCGUCAUCGUCGUCGAUCCCGCGGCCACCGGCCUCCACUCGUCGCGCCAAGACGUCGAGGAGCUCCGCCAUCGUCGUCUUCGUCGCCCUCGCCUUUCGGUUGGAUCUCGGACGGACUGCUGCCUCGCCAUCGCGCGGUCUUCUCCGCACGGCUGCCGCAUCUCGUCGACGAGCGCGGCGCGUCCAGCCACCCCUGCACCUUCCAACCAUGUCCAUGAGCUCCACCGUGAGUUCCUCUCCCGGCCCCCCUUUUCCCCUGCUCGAUCCGCGCCGUAGCCGUCGUCCCCGAGCUCAUCUUGGCCAUGGCCGUGGACCUGCUCCUACGCGCACCUGCCCUGCGUCCCGCGGCGCCCCUGGCUGCGCGCUUGUGCGCCUCACCCACGCCCCGCGUCUAUCCCGUACACGCGCGCCCGUGCGCUGUUGCUCGUGUUGCUUGCCCGCUGUUUGCCUCUCCACUGAUGCUAGUUGCCGCUUCUGCUUUAGCUUCUUGCUGCUCUUGCCGUCGCCGCUGUUCUUGCACUGCUGCUGCUCUUGCUUGCUGCACCGCCGCUACUUUGCUAGCGUUGCUUGCUAGCGCCGCUUGCUGCUGCUCUGUAUUGCUACUACUCGCUGCUUCUCCAUGGCCGUGUGCGUGCGUGCUCUGUGUGUGAUGUGUGCUAUGCUGCGUCCUGUGUGUGUGCCUAUGGCCGGCUGGGUCUCUGGAUGAGACGUGGCACUUUUUAGAUUAGUAGCUAGCUUUUUUAAUUUCACAUCGAGUAACCCCCUGGACUGCCCCUAAACAGUGGCUAAACAACUUCUAACAGGAGCAAGAAUAUUAUUGGGAGGUAGUACACUUGACAAGGCUCAAAUGUUUUCACUGAACCAAAUCCUUUUGAUGCGUGGAUUAAUUUCUAUGAAAAUCACAAAGUUCUAUGUUUUGUUAACAAAAAAAAUCGAAAACAGCUUUAUUUUCAUACCUACUUUAGAGCUGUUGAUGAUCAGGCAAAUGACCUCUAAUAUGGAUGGAAGUGAUACUAACAUGUAGAUCGCAGAGAAGUGCUCACAAUUGAUAUAAGGCACAAAAUCAUAGAAUGUACAGAACAAUAGCUAUAGUCUCGAGAAAACAGCUAAGUGAUGUUUUAAACUUUCGAAUUCUCAGACUUCGUAGAAUUUCAGGGAUUUUGACAAUAUUGUUAAAUCUUUGAAAAAUCAUAGAAAAUUAACCGUAGCCCGGAUCGAAAAAAUUUAUAUAGGAAAGUUGCUCAGAACGACGAGACGAACCCGGAUACGUAGCCUGUUUGUUUGCCUCGCAUCCCUAGCAUAGCAAACACGCAACUUUCUCCUUCCGUUUUAUCUGCCCGAAAGCGCGAAACACCGGGGAUAUUUUUCCGGAUGUUCCCCCCUUCACCGGUACCACCACUUACCGCAUUAGGGCACCCCCCCAGCACCGAUACUUGUUAUGUUAUGCAUCGCUAUGCAUCUGUUUGCUUAAUAUUUAUUGUUUCUUCCCCCUCUUCUCUUUGAUAGACUACGAGACCGACGCCGCUGCUACCCAGUACGACUACGGUGUUGACGACCCCUCUCUCUUGCCAGAGCAACUAGGCAAGCAAACCCCCCCUGAGCCUUUCGAUAUCGCCCACUUAUCUCCCUCUCAUGCUUGCAUUAGAACUGCUACUGCUUUAUGUAUGAUCCUACUCUGAUGCAUAGCCUGUUGUUGUUACCUGCUUUCAUACCUUACCCGCUUAUCCUAAACUGCUUAGUAUAGGUUGGUUAGUGAUCCAUCAGUGACCCCCACCUUGUCCCAGUUGCCCCGCUUUAUGUUCGAUGACUCGAUCAUCGUGAUCGACGUCCAGGCCCCGACACCGCACAUCACCCUCCCCCCCCCUAGUUGGACAACUUUGCAGAGUUACCGUCGAGUGCCGAGGGUGGAACCUCUUACAUCACUUCUGAUGAGAUCUCUGUAGUGUAGUUAUACGGUAGAGGUCAUCGAGGGUGAUUUCCUCCUUAACCACUUCCGUUACCGCUCUGUCGUGCAACCCCUCAAGUGUGAACCUCGAGGGUGGUUCCUCUUACGUUCACCUUGAUGAUAAGAUCGAGUGGGAUUCACCGGGGGUGAUUCCUCGAAUUUUCCCCUUGGUGUUAGACACACAAUUACUAUGGUUACUAUGACUUUGCACUGAGCCAUGUUACUAAAGACGGGUCGACCCUGAGGGGUACCCGCGCGAGCUUAAUUGCGAGUGAUGUGGAGACGGGUUGACCUGGAGGGUGCCCGCGAGAUAAUUACGAGGCGUGGUCGGGCAUUCCUAGCCCUUGCCGCAAGUCCUCGAGACAGGGCAACGGGGUCACAUCUUUCGUGAGUCUCUGCUUGUUACCGCGCGUUCCUAAUCCACUACGAUUUGGAUAUUUGAUCCGAGGGGCCUCUGGCCUGAUAGCACUAACCAUCACGUGGGCAUAGUAUGGGCGUUCUGCGUCGUAUGCAUCAGCCGAAGCUUAAUAGACGUCAGCGACUGAGCGGCGCGUGCCGGGUUGGACUGGUAAGCACCUUCCUUUUUGAAGGAGGUAGCUAGGUCUGCUCACCGGCCGCCCUCGCAACGUGCAGGAGUUCCCGGGGAGAUGGCCCAUGACCCCUGGGGGCAUAGCUUUAGUCCGGCAUGCUGGCCUUUCUAUUAAGUCUAGGUCGGGUUGCGGCGUAUUGUUUGGCCGAGGCCGGGCAUGACCCAGGAAAGUGUGUCCGAUCGGAGUUAAUCGAGCGUGGUGGGUAAGUUGGUGCACCCCUGUAGGGAAGAAAACAUCUAUCGAUAGCCUGUCCUACGGUAACGGACACUUGGAGUUGUAUCCCGAUCGAUACAACUAGAACUGGAUAGUUGUGAUGAGAAAUGGAUUGUGAUGAGAACGGAUGGUGAUGAGAAUUGGAUUAUGAUUGGAACUGGAUAGUAUGGCUCUGGGAUUGCUUUCUCGCAGGGAGUCGAGAAAGGAUCUCUGGCCGAGGUUGAUAACACUUCUACUACUUUACGUUAUGCUACUCUACUCCCUCCUGUUGCUUCAAGAUGGUGGAUUCGAGAAGAUGCUAGUCUUCGAUAGGCUAGGCCUUCCCCUUCUCUUCUGGCAUUCUGCAGUUCAGUCCACAUAUACUACCCCCUUUCAUUGACAUCGAUGCAUAUGUAGUGUAGAUCCUUGUUUGCGAGUACUUUGGAUGAGUACUCACGGUUGCUUUGCUCCCCCUUUUCCCCCUUUUCCAUUCUUCUCGGAUGUCGCAACCAGAUGGUGGAGCCCAGGAUCCAGACGCCACCUUCGACGACAACUGCUACUACACUGAGGGUGCCUACGACUACGUGGAGGCCGCCGACGACCAGGAGUAGUUAGGAGGCUCCCAGGCAGGAGGCCUUGCCUUUUCGAUCGAUGUUGCUUUUGUGCUAGCCUUCUUAAGGCAAAAACUUGUCUAACUUAUGUCUGUACUCAGAUAUUGUUGCUUCCGCUGACUCUUGUGUAUUCGAGCUUAUGUAUUCGAGCCCUUGAGGCCCCUGGCUUGUAAUAUAGAGCUUGUAUUAUUUAAAUUUGUGUCUAGAGUUGUGUUGUGAUAUCUUCCCGUGAGUCCUUGAUCUUGAUCGUAUACAUUUGCGUGUAUGAUUAGUGUACGAUUGAAUCGAGGGCGUCACACCAUCCCAGCGCACCUGCAAGGCAGUGUUGCAUAUCUUCACAUGGCUGUGGAAGACAAGGUGUUCUAAUUAGGAUUGGGGUGAGGUGGGUCCAACCAUGCCUCCACUCCCUAUGUAAAUAUGUGUUUCACGAUUGGCCAUGGGUUUUCCCUUCUCAAUUUUUUAG
Molecule: long non-coding RNA, 8084 nt
Filed under: Triticum aestivum (bread wheat)
Lineage: Eukaryota; Viridiplantae; Streptophyta; Magnoliopsida; Poales; Poaceae
Description: long non-coding RNA (TAES_LNC020307)
Source: RNAcentral